Molecule: transfer RNA, 77 nt
Filed under: Acidobacteriota bacterium
Lineage: Bacteria; Pseudomonadati; Acidobacteriota
Also listed under: 6 other names
Description: tRNA-Arg
Rfam family: tRNA
About the family: Transfer RNA (tRNA) molecules are approximately 80 nucleotides in length. Their secondary structure includes four short double-helical elements and three loops (D, anti-codon, and T loops). Further hydrogen bonds mediate the characteristic L-shaped molecular structure. tRNAs have two regions of fundamental functional importance: the anti-codon, which is responsible for specific mRNA codon recognition, and the 3' end, to which the tRNAs corresponding amino acid is attached (by aminoacyl-tRNA synthetases). tRNAs cope with the degeneracy of the genetic code in two manners: having more than one tRNA (with a specific anti-codon) for a particular amino acid; and 'wobble' base-pairing, i.e. permitting non-standard base-pairing at the 3rd anti-codon position.
Source: RNAcentral
GCGCCCUUAGCUCAGUUGGAUAGAGCGUCUGGCUACGAACCAGGAGGUCGCAAGUUCGAGUCUUGCAGGGCGCACCA